ACACACAGACCGACACGGAACUGGUGCCGUUCAAGCUGUCUCCAGAAAGUCGGGUCGAUGUUUAAGUACUGUGGAGGUAACAUUGCCUCAGAUAACGUUUAAACGAGUGAUUUUUUGGUCAGAGUCGUUACAGCUAUUCCAUAAUCUGUUUUCUUCAUCGACAUCUGAUUUCGAAACAUAUUAAGAAAAUGUCCUACUCCAUCUUAUGGAUGAUAAUUCUUAUGGAUUUACAGAUAUUUAUCCAUGCAGGAGUACCGGGAAUUAAAUUGAGAACAGUUGAUGUUGAAGGAGAGCACCAAAGUAAGUCAAGUUAAUUUUAUUGUUGUUCUAUAUAAUCUAAUUAUUUUUUACAUAUAGUUUUUAUGCAAUUAUAAAUUCG
Long non-coding RNA from Centruroides sculpturatus (bark scorpion), 379 nucleotides. RefSeq lists it as uncharacterized. The record is from RefSeq and is a predicted model, not a curated record. The transcript has 3 exons. Lineage: Eukaryota; Metazoa; Arthropoda; Arachnida; Scorpiones; Buthidae.